This is a small nuclear RNA of Heterocephalus glaber (naked mole-rat), 119 nucleotides long. Its record names the gene U1. It matches the Rfam family "U1 spliceosomal RNA". From Rfam's summary of the family: U1 is a small nuclear RNA (snRNA) component of the spliceosome (involved in pre-mRNA splicing). Its 5' end forms complementary base pairs with the 5' splice junction, thus defining the 5' donor site of an intron. Lineage: Eukaryota; Metazoa; Chordata; Mammalia; Rodentia; Bathyergidae. The record is from Ensembl.
AUACUUACCUGACAGGGGAGAUACCAUGAUCACGAAGGUGGUUUCCCAGGACUGGUCUUAUCCAUUGCACUCCGGAUGUGCUGACCCUUGCGAUUUCCCCAAAACUCAACUGCUUGAAA